AUAGGAGCUGACGCCUGCCCGGUGCUGGAAGGUUAAGGGGAUCUGUUAGAGCAAUCGAAGCAGUCAACUUAAGCCCCAGUAAACGGCGGCCGUAACUAUAACGGUCCUAAGGUAGCGAAAUUCCUUGUCGGGUAAGUUCCGACCCGCACGAAAGGCGUAACGAUUUGGGCACUGUCUCAACAACAGACCCGGUGAAAUUGUAAUUCCGGUGAAGAUGCCGGAUCCCGUCGCCCGCACGGCAAGACCCCAUGGAGCUUUACUGUAGCUUGACAUUGGGUCUUGGUACUACAUGUACAGGAUAGGUGGGAGGCUUUGAAACCAGGACGCCAGUUUUGGCGGAGCCAUCCUUGGGAU
RNAcentral lists this ribosomal RNA (354 nucleotides) under Clostridioides difficile. RNAcentral describes it as "bacterial LSU rRNA". It matches the Rfam family "Bacterial large subunit ribosomal RNA", at positions 1845 to 2198 of the family's 2925-position model. The record is from RNAcentral. Lineage: Bacteria; Bacillati; Bacillota; Clostridia; Peptostreptococcales; Peptostreptococcaceae.